This 197-nucleotide unclassified non-coding RNA is filed under the name rhizosphere metagenome. RNAcentral's name for it is "partial ribosomal RNA internal transcribed spacer region". The record is from RNAcentral.
GUAGGUGAACCUGCGGAAGGAUCAUUAUCGUAGGGCUUCGGCCCUGUCGAGAUAGAAUCCUUGCCUUUAUGAGUACCGUCCGUUUCCUCGGCAGGUCCGCCUGCCGAUGGACCAAAACAAUAAACCCUUUUAUCACCUGUAUCAGUCUGAAAAAUAAAUAAAAAUUAAAACUUUCAACAACGGAUCUCUUGGUUCUG